RNAcentral lists this long non-coding RNA (865 nucleotides) under Sarcophilus harrisii (Tasmanian devil). RNAcentral describes it as "lncRNA (ENSSHAG00000024131.1)". The record is from RNAcentral. Lineage: Eukaryota; Metazoa; Chordata; Mammalia; Dasyuromorphia; Dasyuridae.
UGCACAAGACUUCCCUGGGUCUUUAGAAAGUGUUACCCCUUAUUUCAAACUCCAUAAAUGCAAAUCGACUGGCCAACUGACCUAGAGUUCCACACCCCUUAUCUAGAAAGCUGAGGGACAUGUUUGAGCAUAUAUGGGAAUCCUGUUGCACUCCACAGCUCCCACUGCCAUCCCCCCAGUUACAGGCCACUUGGUUAUGAUGAUCGGUCCAGACUAAGUUUUGUGGAUGAUGGAUGAUGAUGGCUGCAUGAAAGCCCUUAAGCCCCUCUUGAGUUCGAGACCACAGCUGUUAGGAAUGAUGCUAAGGCUCAAAUCCAUGCAAAGAUCAAGUAUCUUUUCUUCCUCCGAAUUCUCUCUUUCCUUUGCUUAGAAAAUGAUCUAUUCUUCUAUGAAAGGCGGCAGUAAUGCAUUCUACCAAACAUGCUUUAUGAAUUUUUUAUCUGAACUUUCACAGUCUCUAACACUGACAGAAAGCCUUUGUUAUUCUUUCUCACGUCUAGGCCAAGUCAGUCCUAAAAUUGAUCGACACGAGCCCUCAGAACAAAAGGAGAGGACGGUGUGCACACUGAGUGGUAACUUGACGCUCACCAUCGAAGCUGAGAUCUUCCCCAUCUUUUACCAGGACAGUCACGGCAACGGGUUCUUCACUGAUAGCUGACCCCCAGUCUCUCCCUUCUCCCAUUCUCCCUCCACCUAGAUUUGAACUGAUAUUAUGAAACACAGACAGGUUUUUAGGUGUGAUCAUAUCCACUCAGUAAACUCCAGUUUCUAUUGCUCUAAAGAUUAAAAAUAAACUUCUCUAUUAAACUCACUAAACUUACAACUUGACUCCAACCUAUUUUCCCAUAUUUAUUAUUUCCAUAUU